Molecule: ribosomal RNA, 1834 nt
Filed under: freshwater metagenome
Description: bacterial LSU rRNA
Rfam family: Bacterial large subunit ribosomal RNA
Source: RNAcentral
AGGACGUGGGAAAGUCCGGCAUAGAAGGUGAGACCCCGGUAGUCGAAAUUUCAUUAUCUUGUUUUUAGUAUCCCAAGUAAUACCGGACUCGUGUAAUCCGGUAUGAAUCUGGCGGGACCACCCGCUAAGCCUAAAUACUCUCUGGUGACCGAUAGUGAACAAGUACCGUGAGGGAAAGGUGAAAAGAACCCCGCAAGGGGAGUGAAAUAGAAUCUGAAACCGUUUGCAUACAAACCGUUGGAGCUGCCUUGUGCAGUGACAGCGUGCCUUUUGAAGAAUGAGUCUACGAGUUAGUGUGAUGUAGCAAGGUUAACCCGUCGAGGGGAAGCCGUAGCGAAAGCGAGUCUGAAUAGGGCGAAUAAGUCGCAUCAUCUAAACCCGAAGCGAGGUGAUCUCGCCAUGACCAGGUUGAAGCGCGGGUAAGACCGCGUGGAGGACCGAACCCACUAAAGUUGAAAAUUUAGGGGAUGAGUUGUGGCUAGGGGUGAAAGACCAAUCAAACUUCGUGAUAGCUGGUUCUCUCCGAAAUGCAUUUAGGUGCAGCGUCGCGUGUUUCUUACUGGAGGUAGAGCUACUGGAUGGCCGAGGGGACCUACAAGUUUACCAACGUCAGCCAAACUCCGAAUGCCAGUAAGUGAGAACGUGGCAGUGAGACAGUGGGGGAUAAGCUUCAUUGUCGAGAGGGAAACAACCCAGAACAGCAACUAAGGUCCCAAAGCCUGUGCUAAGUGGAAAAGGAUGUGAAGUCGCAUAGACAACCAGGAGGUUGGCUUAGAAGCAGCCACCCUUAAAAGAGUGCGUAAUAGCUCACUGGUCAAGUGAUUUCGCGCCGACAAUGUAACGGGGCUCAAGCACAGCACCGAAGUUCUGUCAUUCACACAUUAUCCCGGUCUUAUGGUUCGCCAGAAAGAUCCAGGAGUGUGGAUGGGUAGGAGAGCGUUGUGUAACUAGUGAAGCGGCGGAGGAAUCCAGCCGUGGAAGUUACACAAGUGAGAAUGUAGACAUGAGUAGCGAAAGACGGGUGAGAAACCCGUCCACCGAAUGACCAAGGGUUCCUGAGCCAGGCUAAUCCGCUCAGGGUAAGUCGGGUCCUAAGGCGAGGCCGACAGGCGUAGUCGAUGGACAACUGGUUGAUAUUCCAGUACCCGCAAUAAACCGUCCAUGACGAAUCAAUAAUGCUAAGUGUUUGAAGUUGGCUAGCAAUAGCUGAUGGAGCGCACGACCCAAGUUGUUAGUAGUCAAGCAAUGGAGAGACGCAGGAAGGUAGUCCAACCCAGGCGAUGGUUGACCUGGGGUAAGAGUGUAGGAGGUUCUGUAGGAAAAUCCGCAGAACAAUCUCUGAGACUUAAUGCCGAGCCGUAAGGCGAAGUGGAUGAUCCUAUGCUGCCAAGAAAAUCUUCUAGCGAGGUUUAUAGUGGCCCGUACCCGAAACCGACGCAGGUGGUCAGGUAGAGAAUACCAAGGUGAUCGAGAGAAUCGUGGUGAAGGAACUCGGCAAAAUACCCCCGUAACUUCGGGAGAAGGGGGGCUAAUUUUUGUGUAGAGGUUUACCUUCGAAGCAUAAGUUAGACGCAGAGAAUAGGCUCAAGCGACUGUUUACCAAAAACACAGGUCCGUGCGAAGUUGCAAAACGAUGUAUACGGACUGACGCCUGCCCGGUGCUGGAAGGUCAAGGGGACUAGUUAGCUCUUCGGAGCGAAGCUGAGAACUUAAGCCCCAGUAAACGGCGGUGGUAACUAUAACCAUCCUAAGGUAGCGAAAUUCCUUGUCGGGUAAGUUCCGACCUGCACGAAUGGCGUAACGAUUUGGGCGCUGUCUCCACCACGAACUCGGC